This 248-nucleotide ribosomal RNA is filed under the name Actinoalloteichus sp. MA-32. RNAcentral's name for it is "partial 16S ribosomal RNA". It matches the Rfam family "Bacterial small subunit ribosomal RNA", at positions 265 to 524 of the family's 1533-position model. The record is from RNAcentral. Lineage: Bacteria; Bacillati; Actinomycetota; Actinomycetes; Pseudonocardiales; Pseudonocardiaceae.
GGGCUACAGGCGAGACGGGUAGCCGGCCUGAGAGGGCGACCGGCCACACUGGGACUGAGAUACGGCCCAGACUCCUACGGGAGGCAGCAGUGGGGAAUAUUGCGCAAUGGGCGAAAGCCUGACGCAGCGACGCCGCGUGAGGGAUGACGGCCUUCGGGUUGUAAACCUCUUUCAGCGCCGAAGAAGCGAAAGUGACGGUAGGCGCAGAAGAAGCACCGGCUAACUACGUGCCAGCAGGCCGCGGCGGA